RNAcentral lists this ribosomal RNA (1121 nucleotides) under Escherichia coli. RNAcentral describes it as "partial 23S ribosomal RNA". It matches the Rfam family "Bacterial large subunit ribosomal RNA", at positions 614 to 1738 of the family's 2925-position model. Lineage: Bacteria; Pseudomonadati; Pseudomonadota; Gammaproteobacteria; Enterobacterales; Enterobacteriaceae. The record is from RNAcentral.
AAUGGGUCAGCGACUUAUAUUCUGUAGCAAGGUUAACCGAAUAGGGGAGCCGAAGGGAAACCGAGUCUUAACUGGGCGUUAAGUUGCAGGGUAUAGACCCGAAACCCGGUGAUCUAGCCAUGGGCAGGUUGAAGGUUGGGUAACACUAACUGGAGGACCGAACCGACUAAUGUUGAAAAAUUAGCGGAUGACUUGUGGCUGGGGGUGAAAGGCCAAUCAAACCGGGAGAUAGCUGGUUCUCCCCGAAAGCUAUUUAGGUAGCGCCUCGUGAAUUCAUCUCCGGGGGUAGAGCACUGUUUCGGCAAGGGGGUCAUCCCGACUUACCAACCCGAUGCAAACUGCGAAUACCGGAGAAUGUUAUCACGGGAGACACACGGCGGGUGCUAACGUCCGUCGUGAAGAGGGAAACAACCCAGACCGCCAGCUAAGGUCCCAAAGUCAUGGUUAAGUGGGAAACGAUGUGGGAAGGCCCAGACAGCCAGGAUGUUGGCUUAGAAGCAGCCAUCAUUUAAAGAAAGCGUAAUAGCUCACUGGUCGAGUCGGCCUGCGCGGAAGAUGUAACGGGGCUAAACCAUGCACCGAAGCUGCGGCAGCGACACUAUGUGUUGUUGGGUAGGGGAGCGUUCUGUAAGCCUGUGAAGGUGUACUGUGAGGUAUGCUGGAGGUAUCAGAAGUGCGAAUGCUGACAUAAGUAACGAUAAAGCGGGUGAAAAGCCCGCUCGCCGGAAGACCAAGGGUUCCUGUCCAACGUUAAUCGGGGCAGGGUGAGUCGACCCCUAAGGCGAGGCCGAAAGGCGUAGUCGAUGGGAAACAGGUUAAUAUUCCUGUACUUGGUGUUACUGCGAAGGGGGGACGGAGAAGGCUAUGUUGGCCGGGCGACGGUUGUCCCGGUUUAAGCGUGUAGGCUGGUUUUCCAGGCAAAUCCGGAAAAUCAAGGCUGAGGCGUGAUGACGAGGCACUACGGUGCUGAAGCAACAAAUGCCCUGCUUCCAGGAAAAGCCUCUAAGCAUCAGGUAACAUCAAAUCGUACCCCAAACCGACACAGGUGGUCAGGUAGAGAAUACCAAGGCGCUUGAGAGAACUCGGGUGAAGGAACUAGGCAAAAUGGUGCCGUAACUUCG